This 253-nucleotide ribosomal RNA is filed under the name uncultured bacterium. Its description in RNAcentral is "partial 16S ribosomal RNA". It matches the Rfam family "Bacterial small subunit ribosomal RNA", at positions 524 to 776 of the family's 1533-position model. The record is from RNAcentral.
UACGAAGGGUCCAAGCGUUAUCCGGAUUUAUUGGGUUUAAAGGGUGCGUAGGCGGCUUAUUAAGUCAGUGGUGAAAGACUUCAGCUUAACUGAAGAACUGCCAUUGAUACUGAUGAGCUUGAAUGUAGUUGAGGUGGGCGGAAUGUGUCAUGUAGCGGUGAAAUGCUUAGAUAUGACACAGAACACCGAUUGCAAAGGCAGCUCGCUAAACUAUGAUUGACGCUGAUGCACGAAAGCGUGGGGAGCAAACAGG